RNAcentral lists this long non-coding RNA (436 nucleotides) under Sinocyclocheilus grahami. Its description in RNAcentral is "lncRNA (ENSSGRG00000025994.1)". Lineage: Eukaryota; Metazoa; Chordata; Actinopteri; Cypriniformes; Cyprinidae. The record is from RNAcentral.
CACAGGGCCCACCUGGAACAUGCGAUGCUGAAGCUGUUAAGGGUAUGAAGGGUGACCCGGGUGUCGCAGGAAUGGAUGGACAGAAGGGCGACAAAGGGGAUUCUGGUUUGCCUGGCCUGGAGGGAGCCAGUGGAAUGAAGGGGCAAAAGGGUGAGGAAGGACUACCGGGCCCCGUGAGUACUAGAGGUUCUCAGUCAGAGGUUCUGACGCAUACAGAUAUAUCACAUACAGUAGUAACACACAUGAGACUCUACAUGUUACAGAACAUCCGUUUAAACGGGAAACUUGCAUGUCUUUGAUAAACACAUUGAUCUUCAUGCCAUGAACGUCUCCACUGAGAGGAUUCAAGUCCAAUAAAUGAUUCAGAGCUACUGUGUAAAAUAAUGUCUGUGUAAGCUAAUUUUUUUUCAAAGAAGCAUUUUAUGCUCACCAAGGC